Molecule: RNA transcript, 2288 nt
Organism: Lynx canadensis (Canada lynx)
Lineage: Eukaryota; Metazoa; Chordata; Mammalia; Carnivora; Felidae
Gene: HACL1
Gene name: 2-hydroxyacyl-CoA lyase 1
Exons: 20
Source: RefSeq, a predicted model, not a curated record
GGCUGUCCCCCCGACUUUAUUUUGCUGGGCGUCUACGUGUCAGCUUGAUGUUUGACUGAGAGAGUAUCUCCAAGUUUUAGGUGGAAGAUGUCGGAGACUAACAGAGCCGCACGUAGCGACGGAGACGAGGAGCAGGUUUCUGGUGCUGAAGUCAUCGCCCAGGCCCUGAAAACGCAAGAUGUAGAGUACAUGUUUGGCAUCGUAGGCAUCCCAGUGACCGAAAUCGCCGUUGCGGCCCAGAAGAUGGGCAUCAGAUAUGUCGGGAUGAGGAAUGAGCAAGCGGCUUGUUAUGCUGCCUCUGCGAUUGGAUAUCUGACAGGCAGGCCUGGCGUAUGCCUUGUUGUUUCUGGCCCAGGUCUCAUCCAUGCUUUGGGUGGUAUGGCAAAUGCAAACAUGAACUGUUGGCCCUUGAUUGUGAUUGGUGGUUCUUCUGAAAGAAGUCAGGAAACUAUGGGAGCCUUCCAGGAGUUUCCUCAGGUUGAAGCUUGUAGAUUAUACAGCAAGUUCUCUGCCCGGCCAAGCAGCAUAGAGACUAUUCCCUCUAUUAUCGAGAAGGCAGUGAGAAGCAGCAUUUAUGGUCGUCCAGGUGCUUGUUAUGUUGACAUACCUGCAGAUUUUGUGAACUUGCAGGUGAAUGUGAAUUCUGUAAGGUACAUGGAGUGUUGCACGCCACCUCCUGUUAGUAUGGCAGAGACCUCCGCUAUAUGUAUGGCAGCAACUGUUAUUAGAAAUGCCAAGAAGCCCCUUCUUAUCAUCGGGAAAGGUGCUGCUUAUGCCCAUGCAGAGGAGGGUAUCAGGAAAUUGGUGGAGCGGUGUAAGUUGCCGUUCUUGCCCACCCCCAUGGGAAAGGGUGUUAUCCCUGAUAACCAUCCGAACUGUGUGGCUGCUGCCAGAUCCAGGGCUUUGCAAUUUGCUGAUGUAAUUGUGUUAUUUGGUGCCCGAUUAAAUUGGAUUUUGCAUUUUGGACUGCCUCCAAGAUACCAGCCAGAUGUGAAGUUUAUCCAGGUUGAUAUCUGUGCAGAAGAAUUGGGGAAUAAUGUAAAGCCUGCUGUGACUUUGCUAGGAGACAUAAAUGCUGUCACUAAACAGCUUUUAGAACAAUUUGAUAAAACGCCAUGGCAGUAUCCUCCAGAGAGCAGCUGGUGGAAAACUCUGAGAGAAAAAAUGAAGAGCAAUGAAGCCGCAUCCAAGGAAUUAGCUUCCCAAAAAUCUCUGCCUAUGAAUUAUUACACAGUAUUCUAUCAUGUUCAAGAACAGCUACCUAGAGACUGUUUUGUAGUAAGUGAAGGAGCAAAUACUAUGGAUAUUGGACGCACUGUGCUUCAAAACUACCUUCCUCGUCACAGGCUUGAUGCUGGUACUUUUGGAACCAUGGGAGUUGGUUUGGGCUUUGCCAUUGCAGCCGCUAUACUGGCUAAAGCUAGAAACACAGGUCAGCGGGUCAUCUGUGUGGAAGGAGACAGUGCAUUUGGGUUUUCUGGCAUGGAAGUGGAAACCAUCUGUAGGUACAACUUGCCCAUCAUUCUUUUGGUGGUGAACAAUAAUGGAAUUUACCAAGGUUUUGAUGUGGAUAGUUGGCAGGAAAUGUUAAAAUUUGGAGACGCUACUGCAGUGGCCCCUCCCGUCUGUCUUUUGCCAAACUCACAUUACGAGCAGGUUAUGACUGCGUUUGGAGGCAAAGGGUAUUUCGUACAAACACCGGAAGAGCUCCAAAAAUCACUGAGGGAGAGUUUGGCAGACACAACUGCACCUUCUCUUAUCAAUAUCAUGAUUGAGCCACAAGCCACGCGGAAAGCCCAGGAUUUUCACUGGCUGACACGCUCUAAGAUAUAAAGAUGUCCGGGAAUGGUCGUGAGGAGUUUUCUUUCCUGAGCAGCAAAAGAUGGAAGAGAAUCUCCCUACAAGGAGUCACUGAGGCUGCAGGGCUUGAAUGUCUUCCCCAAAGGAUGUGAAAUCGGAAAAGAAUCCCUACCCUUUUUAAGUUGGCACUGGUGUUCCUGGAUGCCUGGAGUAAAAGGUUUCAGUUCAAGAACCAUCACUCCUCGGUCAUCGUAAACCAUUGGGAGAUCUCCUCUGAAGUCUCCAGCCCUCCCUAACUUCCUACCAUAAAAGAUUUCCUGUCCUCCCUACCAGAGGAAGGAGUGUGCUUUCACAUCUUCAGAGCUGAACGAUUCUUGGACUCACAGCAUUUCUAGGUCCAGUUCCAGGUAGUUCAAGGCCAACUCGGUGCAAAUCUCUUCCCUGAAAGUGAGGACAGCAAGCUCCCUGCCCUGGGAUUAGAACUGCAG